Molecule: ribosomal RNA, 765 nt
Filed under: uncultured Streptococcus sp.
Lineage: Bacteria; Bacillati; Bacillota; Bacilli; Lactobacillales; Streptococcaceae
Description: bacterial SSU rRNA
Rfam family: Bacterial small subunit ribosomal RNA
Source: RNAcentral
GACGAACGCUGGCGGCGUGCCUAAUACAUGCAAGUAGAACGCUGAAGAGAGGAGCUUGCUCUUCUUGGAUGAGUUGCGAACGGGUGAGUAACGCGUAGGUAACCUGCCUUGUAGCGGGGGAUAACUAUUGGAAACGAUAGCUAAUACCGCAUAACAAUGGAUGACACNUGUCAUUUAUUUGAAAGGGGCAAUUGCUCCACUACAAGAUGGACCUGCGUUGUAUUAGCUAGUAGGUGAGGUAACGGCUCACCUAGGCGACGAUACAUAGCCGACCUGAGAGGGUGAUCGGCCACACUGGGACUGAGACACGGCCCAGACUCCUACGGGAGGCAGCAGUAGGGAAUCUUCGGCAAUGGGGGCAACCCUGACCGAGCAACGCCGCGUGAGUGAAGAAGGUUUUCGGAUCGUAAAGCUCUGUUGUAAGUCAAGAACGAGUGUGAGAGUGGAAAGUUCACACUGUGACGGUAGCUUACCAGAAAGGGACGGCUAACUACGUGCCAGCAGCCGCGGUAAUACGUAGGUCCCGAGCGUUGUCCGGAUUUAUUGGGCGUAAAGCGAGCGCAGGCGGUUUGAUAAGUCUGAAGUUAAAGGCUGUGGCUCAACCAUAGUUCGCUUUGGAAACUGUCAAACUUGAGUGCAGAAGGGGAGAGUGGAAUUCCAUGUGUAGCGGUGAAAUGCGUAGAUAUAUGGAGGAACACCGGUGGCGAAAGCGGCUCUCUGGUCUGUAACUGACGCUGAGGCUCGAAAGCGUGGGGAGCGAACAGG